Halichondria panicea is the source of this 12310-nucleotide long non-coding RNA. RefSeq lists it as uncharacterized. The record is from RefSeq and is a predicted model, not a curated record. NCBI's taxonomy places the organism in Eukaryota, Metazoa, Porifera, Demospongiae, Suberitida, Halichondriidae. The transcript has 3 exons.
UGCUAACCGUUUCUGAGGAUCUAAAAGUAUUCUUCGAAUUAAGAUCCUAGCUCUUUUUGUAAAAUGUUUGAAUUUCAUGUUAUGCUAGCAACAUGUUAGUUACAAGGGGGGAGGUUAUACGUGGCAACUGCUCUCAGAAAACAAACGAUGUGUGUUGACGGUAGAGAUCGAAUCUGAAGUAAAGCAUGUUCGUAGCUGAGUUUAUAUCUGUGAUUUAGCUUUUUAUACAUAAAGUGGACUAAAUCAUAAAGCUUGUUCCGUAGUUUAUAGUUAACUUUUGUAAGUCUUAAUGUGCUUCAAAUUAAGAGCUUAUUUAUUUACCUAAAUUGCACCAGGUAGAGUUAAGUAUGGCCAGUGUGCAAUCGUGAGUGAUCACCUGAUUCACCAACUGAAUGAUACCAUCAUGCAGGCAUGUAUAUUCAUACAAUUGAUAUGUGCAUGCAUGCUUAUAAUUGUUGUACUUCUGUCACCUUGUACGCAAUGUAUGUACCGUGGCUACUGGUUUAGGCAAACUAUAGGUCACAGUGACUGGACAUUGUGCACUAGCACUUGUAGUGAUUUGUACACGCAUGUCGGACCUCCUCUGGUUUUAGUUUCAUGUACUGCUAGAGGUUAACGCCCACUAUCUAUUGCACUCUGAAGCGAAACGUGGAUGGUUUCAAGAGGAACGUUAGGAGCCAUUGUCGCACGUGAUCCUGUUUCCAAUCCCUCUUACUGUUCUAUCUACGUCCAACUCACAUGUACCACGACAAUUAUUAGAGUCGUUAUCGCCCGUAUAGAGUAUAUACUUUUGUGUAGUGUUAGUUCUGUAUCAGUGCGUGCUACAAAGACCCGUGACACAUUCCACCCCUACCUUGGCUAUAGCAAUGUGUUCUAUCGUCUUACCAUAUUUGAAUAUCUUGAUGUGUCUUCCAAAAUUUAGCGACUUGCCAUCUACGUACAUUCGACGGCUUGCAUUGGGCCAUAGCACUUUGCAAAAAUAAUUAUACUGCACAUGUAUGUUGAGAUUGCCCCAUAGAAUUAGAUCGGGGAGUUUUACUUUUUAUUAUUGAUGACUUCCCUUAACUGUUUGCCUGCAUGCAAAAACUGUGCCCACACAAACUGAGCAAAAGUGCCUCAGCUAGUGUUAGUGAUACAUCUGGUUGGCAAAGGUUAUACUGCACAUGUAUGUUGAGAUUGCACCAUAGAACUAGAUCAGGGGGAGUUUUACUUUUUAUUAUUGUUCACCCACUUGUGGUCUAUAGAUUUACUUUUUAUUAUUGAUGACUUCCCUUAACUGUUUGCCUGCAUGCAAAAACUGUGCCCACACAAACUGAGCAAAAGUGCCUCAGUGUUAGUGAUACAUCUGGUUGGCAAAGGUUAUACUGCACAUGUAUGUUGAGAUUGCACCAUAGAACUAGAUCAGGGGGACUUUUACUUUUUAUUAUUGUUCACCCACUUGUGGUCUAUAGAUUAGAUUCACUUAUAAUUAGAUGCAUAAAGCCUUAGCUAUAAAAGAGCUUAUCUCAAAGGAAAAAAUAUAUUUCAGGCAUCUGAGCACAACUCAUUGACAAGUUGGCCAACCGAAGCAAGCAAUAAGCCAACUUGUAUGCUUUGAAGCCUCAAGGACCUCGUCUAAUAUAAACCUUCCUUCUCCCGUUUCACAAACCAGACCACUGAUCAUGUACUCAAUAGUCCUUUUCCUGUUCGCUGUAUGCAGCCCAUGUUGGGCUGAAAACUGCAUUGGCAUCUUCCAUGAUCAUCGGCCGUCCCUAAAGGAGUGUGCCAAACGAAGUGGUACUGUGGACAAGAACGGUCGCUAUUACUUCAAAGACCACAUUGCUGCUGGGUUGUCACGUGGCAAUCAGUGUUUGGAGCCAGUGGAAGAAAACUCUGUGAGGUGCUACAAGUGGGUGCUUGGAGAUCUUUGCUACCCUAUUCCCUCUACUCGACUGUUGAUCACGAGUAAAAAAAGAGUCUCUCAAAAUCAAAAGCUCGUCACCAGUAUCUCAAAGUCAGUCACUUUCCGUUCACCUGACAAAAACUUUGACUCCCAACGAAAGGGACGUUAUUUCAAUAGCAUGUUCUGCUUAUACAACAUUAGCGUACCGAAUUGUAUGAACAAUUCUGUGAUACUUCAAUCCACAUCUGGUGAUCACAGCUUGUUUGACGACGGGAAAGAUUAUCUGUAUUUUGACUUUGGUCAGGUGACCUUUAAAGUGACUGGUGACAGUGUCGGUUCCCUCAGCGAGAAUGUUCCAACCUCUUCAUUCUAUGCGGUUCUGUGGACAGACGCCACCCCAAAAACAGAUUGGGGGAAGUUUGAAAUCGAGGCAGCGUGUAACUGAGUUGUUACAAUUUAUUAUGCUUCUAACGUUUGAAUUAUACAUGUAGUUGAACUGUCAUUAUAAGCUUCGUGUAACGUGUAACUAUGUUUUUCGUUAAAUUUAAUGUCUGUUAUCGCUACUGUAUUGGCAACGAUGUGCCGAUAUAUCCACACUGCCCAUGUCUUUUUGCAUGAGUCUCUUGCGUUGUAAGUGUGUAAUGCAUGCGAUAUGCAUGGAACUUCUCCCACUUUUCAAUGUUUCCACUUGUAAUGUUGCAUGGUUUCUCCUACGAUGCCUGCUUACAAUAAGUGUAUGAAUGAGUUGACUGUAUCAAGAGCGACUCUCUUUGACGAGACACAUACACAUCAAAUUCGUGUUUGAUGUGCACGAAUCUUAAAGUUUCACAGUUUCUGAACCUGAGAGCCAGGGAGAUAUACUCCAUUGCAAUCCUGAACACUGUAGCAUGAGAUAAAAGCUGGGAAUAUCAGAAUGAGUGCCGAUGAUUGCAUCAAAUUUUGUUUUUGAGUACAGUAUACUUUUUUAUCUGCAUGCAUUGUGGCUUGCGUUUGGAGAAUUAAUACCGUAGAUUUGGGCUCAUUGUUCCUUAUCUUUCACCUAAUGCUGGGACUUUAAUAAUUUAAGGUAUCGUUAUUUUAGUGGGUGCACCUAAAAGGUUCCCCAGAUACAAUGAUUCCAUUCUAUAUUAGGUUUGUAGUACUUUUCUACUGUCCAUCAAUAGCCAUCCCAUGCACAAUCUCCAUUGUGGUAACGCAUUUGAAGUUUGUGGUGUAGUUCAAUAGGGUACACUUAAUUUUACCAGUCACAAUGUUGACAUUGUUAACCCGAGGCGCGUGGGCGGCCACGGGUUAUAGUAGUUGUUUGGUUUGUUUGUUUGUGACAGGUGAAUCUACUCACCUGGAUGCCACAGCACUGCGUUUACAGCAUGGAUAGCCUUCAUACAACAAGUUAUUAAUUUUAAUAGUGGCAGAAUUUCAUGUUAAACCUUCGUUGUCAAAUAAAAACGAGCAAAAGCUAAGAAGCUUGUGACUGGGUCUGCUUAUCUGGAUGCUCUAGCACUGCGUUUACAGCAUGGGUAGCCUCCACACAACAAGUCAGUACUUAAGUAGAAAGCUGUAUAUACCAGGAACAAUGGAACAGGGUCACUAAAGUAGAAAGCUUGCUUUAACUGACUGGGAUCCAUGCAGGACCUGGAGCCAUACUUCUAUGAGACUCCAGGCUUCUUUGCUGUGAUCCUAAUCCACAGUGCAUAUAUCUAUAGUACUACUACCUGUUCUCAAAUGUUUUAGCAUGCCUCCAGUCUGGUUUAGUUUUAUUGCUCCUGAGUUGCUGUGCAAGUCAUGCAUGAUGAUGAUAACAACAGCACUGCAUAUCAGUCUUCUGGUUUCUUUAUAAUCAUGUCACCAGCUGAGGGUUUGCACUUUAGUGCUCUAGUUUAUUAGGGUGUUCACCAGUUAGAGACACUGGUUGAGGUGCUGAGAUGAGGCCCACUUAGUCAGGGGACUAUGCUAUCUGUGUGGGUUGUUAUUAUUGUAAUACCCUAUACACUGAGAGCACAAACACUAUCAGCUGUACGUUGCAACUUCCUUUGAAUGUAGGAAAUGAGGUUCCUGUGGAAAUCCUGCACCCCUUGAUGGCUUGUUAGUGGUCCCUUGAACAUAUAGAAAGGAACUUGUCAUUUAAUAAUUAUUGGCUAAGCUCCUAUAGACAGACUGACCGAUGAAAUUAGGGGAUUGGUCGAGAUGCUGAGAUGAGCUGAGGCUGAUUCUCACGAUCUCCCACUCAGUCAGGGGACUAUAUGCCAUGUUUGUGGGUUUUUCUUUAAUACCCUAUACUGAGCACUAACAGCAGGUUGCAACUUCCUUUGAAUGUAGGAAAUGAGGUUCCUGUGAGAAUCUUGCGCCCCCUGAUCUUGUUAGUGGUACCUUUAACAUAUAGUUAUAAUUGGCUAAGCUCUUAUAAUUAACAGGCUGACCGACUGAUGAAUUUUGAUGUCGGUGUCCUCUGCUAUAAACAUUUUUUGCAUGUUAAGCACAAACAGUAAAUGCAUGUGAAUUGUGACAUGAGUUAAUUUCCUCUUACCAGCUAUCAGCUUGAAUAGGAACUGUAUCUCCUCCGUGACCUUGGUGCUACUGACUUUGAAUGCAAAAUUAACGGAAUGAAUUCUCAUUAACUAAAAAUAAACUCAUUGAAGUACUGCAUGCAAAAUUAUUGGCUUGCGCUUGUAUCAUCCAUUUUGCAUUGUUUUCCUUAUUAAUGGGCUCAUCGUUAUUAUACCUGUUCCCUUGUCUUUCACCUAUUAAAAUGCUGGGGCUCAAUACACAGCAUUUUUUAUGUAGUGGGUGAGCCUAAAUUGUUCCGAGGAAGGUUCCCCAGGUACAAUGAUUCCUUUCUGUAUUAGGUUUGUAGUACUUUUCUGUGUCCCAUCAGGAGUGCAUGAAUAUUCGUGCACUCCUAGUCCUAUCAAUAGGUUUUUACCAUCCACCCACAAUCUACAUUCAAAGGUUUCUAUUGUGAUAGUUUUCCCCUGUUUGCAUUUCGUGGUGUACGUAGUUCAAUGCGGUACACUUCAUUUUACCGGUCACAAUGUUGUAGGGUUUUUUCUUUAGAGAGACUGGUUGAGGUGCUGAGAUGAGCCAAGGCUGAGGCUGAUUCUCACGAUCUCCCACUCAGUCAGGGGACUAUGCUAUCUGUGUGGGUUGUUAAUACCCUAAUACUGAGAGCACUAACACUAUCAGUUGUUGUCACUUCCUUUUAAUGGAGAAUCUUGCACCCCUGAUGUGUCUUGUUAGUGGUCCCCAACAUAUAGAAAGCAACUUGUCAUAAUUAUUAAUAUUGCCUAAGCUCUUACAUAAUACAUUAUAAUUUUAAUGAGGUCCUCGGUUAUAAAAAGUAUUUGCAUGUUAAUGCCAAACAGUAAAUGUGAAUUGGAUGUGAGUUGAUUCCUCUUACCAGCCAGCUUGAAUAGGAACCGCGUCACCUAUAAAUAUCUCCUCCGUGACCUUACUUUUGGAAUGCAGAAUUAGCGGAAUGAAUUCUCGUGAAUAAAAAUAAACUGAUUGAAGUACUGCAUACAAAAUUACUGGCUUGCGCUUGUAUGUAUCCAUUUUGCAUUAUAUUAUCCACUUAUUCAUCGUUAAUACGUGUUCCCUUGUCUUUCACCUAUUAAAAUGCUGGGACUUUAUGCUAAUUCAAUAUCAGUCUCAUUUAUAGUGGGUGAACCUAUAUUAAGAGAAGGUUAAUUCCCCAGAUACAAUGAUUCCUUUGGUUUGUAUAUAGUACUUUUCUACUGUCCCAUCAAGAGGUUUUUACCAUCCACCCACGUGCAAUUUACAUUCAAUUGUGAUAAUGUUCUCCCCUAUUUGCAUUUCGUGGUAUACGUAGUUCAAUGCGGUACAUUUAAUUUUACCGAUUUUUUCUUUAGGGAGUGCUGAGAUAAGCCAAGUCAGGGGACUACCAUAAUUUUAUGUCUUCUAAUUUAUGGGACAAUUUUCUGGGCAAUUUUCGAUGUUAUAAUACAACGGACACUCUGGUGUUUUAAUUUUAAAUAUCUAGACAAUAUCUUGAAAAGUUGAGAUACAUUCCAACCAACGUAGCUUUAUUAGCCAGCAAGAGUGCUGCAAGCUAGAUAGUUUUGAGUUUUAGAUAGCUAGUGCAACUAUUCAGUCGCACACUGUUCUAUUAAACUUAGCUAGCUCAUGCAGCUGCAUGCUUGUUCCAGACACUUCGCGUGCUCUAUAAAGAUAUUUUCCAAUUAUUUUUCCUUAUUUUUUGCUGUCCGAUAAAUUAGAACAUAAAUUAUACGGUAUAUGCUUUGUGGGUUGUAACACUCUCUACUGGAGAGCACUGUAAUAUGGAAGGACAUAAUUUUUAUUAGAGCCAAAAUUCUCAGCUUUUGUCCUAGUAAAUGUCCCGGCAAACAUCUGUGGGUGAGGUCGACCAAUUCUCUAGGGUGUGGUCGUCACAGCCCACUGCAUCCGCUCAAGUUUUUGCCCCAGCACUUGCCUCAGUACCAGAAUAAACGCAGUGCAUAAAGUGUAUUGCGUGCAUAAAGAUUGCAACGAGUUAAAGCGCAUAGGCAAUGAAAGUGAAUGCCUCGUGCCAUAAACCAGAGCCUUGUGGAGGCUAUUAAAGAGAUACAAAGAACAUAAUUAUAAGCUAGGCUAAGAAGAUACAAAGAACCUAGCCUUGUGAGAAGAAGAUACAAGCUAUGUAAGGCUAUAACUGUUUGUGGUUAUUUUGUCCCAAGAGGAGAGUUGUAGUGAGGUACCCACUUCCCUGUGAUUCUUGCCAAAUUGCCAUGCAGCAAAAAUGUUCAUCAUGAUAAUUAUAUGUGUAUAAAAGCUAUAGUAGCUUUAUGUUAUUUAUGUAGCUUUGGCACCUCUACCAAGGCAUCAGCACCCACGGUGCUUUCAUUGAGAUUGGGUUUAAAGGAGGAGUAAAAAACAGCACUUGUGAAACAGGUUUAUAUAAUAGGUGGUGCUAUUAAAUUAAUUGUUAUGGAGGAAUAGUCCAGUGAGUUCACGAUUGAAGUGUUUCCUGUCGGUUGGUGAUGGAUAAUUCUUGGUGUUCCUUUCAUAGUCCUUACUCAAGACCUGCUACACUAAUCUAUCCAUUAGAGACUGGGUCGACCCCGCCCACAAGAAAAAGGCGUUGCCGGGACAAACACGGGAACAAAACAUGGGAAUGUUGAUUCUAAUACCCUUCCACACUAUAACACUAUCAGCUGUCGGUACCAUGACUUCAUUGAAGUGCUGCUUUUCGAAUGCAGAAUUAACGAAAGGAAUUCUCAUGAACUGACAAAUACUCCUUAGAGCAUGCAUAACUUGUAUGUACAUUAUGUUUCCCCAUUGUUACCUGUUCCCUUAUUUUUCUGGACCUUCAUGCACAGCAGAUCAUUAUAAUUCAAUAUCAGUUGACUCGUAUUAAAGGAAAAAAGGGCAGACUCGUCAAACUGUUACCCACGGUUGCUCAUUAGCUGAGAAGAUAAAGUUAACUCACAAUUCACAUUUACUGUUAGUGGCUUAACGUGCACAGAAUUUUUAUAGCCCGGGACACUUAUAUCAAAAUUCAUCAGUCAGUCUGUCUAAGAGCUUGGAUAUGACAAGUUGCUUUCUAUAUUAAGGGCCACAACAAGACAUCAGAUUCUCACAGGAACCCUAUUUCCUACAUUCAAAGGAAGUGGCAACAGCUGAUAGUGUUAGUGCUUUCAGUAUAGGGUACGUAUUAGAAUAACAACCCACAAAGAUGGCUUAUAGUCCCCUGACUGAGUGGGAGACCGUGAGAAUCAGCCUUCUCAACAGUCUAUAAUAAACGAUGUCAACAUUGUCUGGCAAAGCCGCAUUGAACUACACCAUGAACUACACCACGAAUCCCCAGACUGAGUGGGAGAUCGUUAGAAUCAGCUUUCUCAACAAUCUAAUAAACGAUGUCAACAUUGUGACUGGCAAAGCCGCAUUGAACUACACCACGAAAAUUCAAAUGACUAAUUUACCUUUCAGUAUAGAUUUUUGGUGGAUGGUAGAAACCUACUAUAUUCUAUUUUUAUACUGUACCCUGCCUCUGAUAUAGAUUAUAUACAUAGGGUAGAAUGAGUUGAUGAUGCCCUAUAGCUCUUCUCUUCAUUGGUCUUAUUUAGUGUGUGAACCUAAUUUGCCAAGUAAGGUUCCCCAUUCCUUUCUGUAUUAGGCUUGUAGUACUUUUCUACCGUCCAUAAUAGGUUUUUACCAUCCACCCACAAUCAAUAUUCAAAGGUUUCUGAUGAGGCUCUACCCACAUUGGAAUUUUGUGGUGUAGUUCAAUAGGGCACACUUAAUUAAUUUUUACCAGUCACAAUGAUGACUUUUACGGACACUGGUUGAGGUGCUGAGGCUGCGCACUUCUUCCCACAUUGGAAUUUUGUGGUGUAUAGUUCAUAAGGCACACUUAAUUAAUUUUUACCAGUCACAAUGAUGACUUUUACGGACACUGGUUGAGGUGCUGAGGCUGAGCACUCAGUCGGGGGACCAUGCAUGUCAUAUUUGAGGGUUAUUAUCUACUGAGAGCACGUACUACAUGUAACCAUAGAUAUAAGAAGGGAGAGGGAUGGGAAACGGAGCACGUGCGCACAAUCACUUCUGUGUAAUGCCAAAAGUUGACCCGUGUUUCGCCUCUAGACACCCCGCCAACCCAGCGGGAAAUGUUAUUACUAUCAUUCACAGCUCCCCACUGGGACUCUUAGUACUGUGCAAUCAUAUAGAAGUGUUGUGUAUAUCACCAAGAGCUUGAAAGCUUUCAAAGGCAGUUUUUUUAGCGUUGUAUUAUCGUUUCGGCUCUAUCCUAGUGGCUUCGUGUACUUUCUACAAGGAGAGGCUGUGACUACAGCCCAAAAUAUUAAUGAUCAAUUCCCUCUUUCAGUAAGCUGGUUUUGAAAAGCAGACUUUUGUGUAUACCCAUUUAGAAAGUUAUAUCAAUGAUUGAAUGUCGGUAAAUGUCUAAUUCAUUUGGUUCAUUGUAUCGGCACAGUAAUUUAUGACAGAACUUUGCUACAUUUCUAUAAUUCUCUAUCAUGUCUGUGACUGUACUGGAAUACUCAACGGUACAGACAGAGCUCCUCUCAAGAAUUUGCCUGUCCAAGCUGCUUUUUACUGCUUGGAGGGGUCUCACUAACUAUUGCUGCUACCUUGUUGUGACUGUUCCACUAGCCAUUGCUAAUACAUGGAGCUCAGUAGCUAGUUUAUAGCCUAGUACUAGCUAAAAGCAUGGGCUGGAGGAAAUAAAGAAGAAAACAUUGACCAAAACGCGGAUCGUCAAUGCUAUUUACGUAGCGUUUCCCAUCCCUCUCCCUUCUUGUAUCUAUAAUGUAACACUAUCAGCUGUUGCAGUUUUGUGAGUGCAUUUAAAUUAAUUGUGAUUGCUUCCCCAAGCAAAUCAUUUGUUUGCAGUACGUUAUGCCUGCUUAACUCUUGUGUAGUAUUCGUAAGUUUCCACUACCAUAAUUCAUAUUCAAAGGUUUCCAUUGUGGUAACUAUUUUAGUUUGUUGUGGUAUCUGAUACACCCCUAUAAACGCCUAAAAGAAAUUUCUCUAUUUCACCAAUGUGGAUAUAUUUAGGGUUACCUUAUAGGGCCACUGGUUUAGGUGUUUACAGUGGAUCCUCACAAUAUCCCACUCAGUCAAGGGAUUGUACCAUAUCCAUAUCUUUGUGGUUUUUAUGCAGCUCCCCACUAAAAAUACAAACAUUAGGUGUUUACAGUGGAUCCUCACAAUCUCCCACUCAGUCAAGGGAUUAUACCAUGCAUAUCCAUAUCUUUGUGGUUUUUAUGCAGUUCCCCACUAAAAAGUACAAACACUUAAUAUAUUAGCUGUGGCAUGAACCUUUUAAGUGAUGGGUUAUUCAGGGAGAUUUGAUAUCAUCCCUAAUUUAUGUACGUAUGAAGUUAAGCAACACCCUGUAACUUGGCCGUAUUAUAGGUAUAUAGAAUCAACUGAUAUCACAAUUAUUCAGUGUUUCUGCACAUAAAGACAAUACAGUAAACGGAAAUUGUAAAUGAGGUCAGUUUACGGAAUGGUGUCAUCUAUCACCAGCUUCUGCAUAGCUUUUCCGAGGCAAAUUUUGGUCCUAGUAAGUAUGGGGCCGCUCAAAUAAUGAUACACUAAGUGGUCUCUGUCAUAAUAUUGGCUAUCGUAAUAAUGGCUAAUGCUUUAAUUGCGAUAAGCCUGAGCGACGCCCUAUAUAGGAGCAAUACUGCAGGAGAUGUAGUGUUUGUUUGGUUGGAUACUUUUUAUUAUGACGAUUGGGAAGCUGCGUGCUCUGUAUGUGCUAGCCCAUUAACUAAUUAAACCAUAGAUAUAGCUGAGAGGGAUUGGGAGCAGAAGUCAAAACCUCUACUUUUAUACAGAGGGUGCGUACAUAGCGUUUUCUUUUACACUCCUGAGAUGCUUCUGUACCUAUAAUAUAUAAUUAUGUAGCUAAGACUGCCUAACUAAGUAGUGAGACUGGGUCACAUAAAAUUAUGACUUUAAAUAUGGAAAAUAACUGCUGCAAGUUCAGCAGCAGGAUUGUUGUACUGACAGUAAGACAGAAUCGUUUGUCUCCUAGCUAGCAUUACUUUUUCACGUUGUAGUAUAGGCCUCAAGUAAAACCGGGGUGCUGACAAUUCUUCGAUGAGGCUGAAUCUAUGAUAGGUAUUGUACAACUUUGGCAAUAUUAUAAUUAUUUAUUCUUUUAGUCUUCUUUGACAGAUGAUAUACCACUAACUUUGCUCAGGCUUGCCCAACAGUUAUAAGUUCUGUUAACAAAUUUAUGGUGAAGUGAUGCACUGAACUUGUAGUGAUUCAUACUACAUAAUUAUGCAUGUCGAUCUCCUCAGGUUUCCAAUCACUUCACAUUGUGUCUGAUAAUACUAUAUUCACACUUGGAUAUUGUGUACUUCACUUGCAUUACCAUGCAUCUAGUACACGUACCCCAGUGUCCUGUUAUACUUGUUUGCCAAGCCUGCAUGGUGAUGAUAAACUAGAUUCAGGAUACUAAGUCUGUACUCAUCGUGCUUAAACCUUGUGUACGUGGUGCUGAUUCCACAUGUAAUUUGAAGCUAUAGCUAGCUCUUUAUUUUGUAUAAGACGUUUGAAUCAAGGUGUCGAAUGACACUUUUAGUGCGGGGAUGAUACCGUAUAGCGCGAAAUUUUCGAGGGGCUUAAUUUUCGUGGAUUUCGUGGGUUAGCAAUCCUACACGAAAAUUAAGUCCACGAAAAUCGUUCUUUACCUGCUAUAACGUGCAAGAUUUAAAGGCGUGGCUUCCGGUAAGCAGUCAUUCCGCGAACAUUGUGCAACGAAAAUACUUUUAGAGGCCAAUCCACGAAAUAUAAGUGCCUCGAAAAUUUCGCGCUAUACGGUAUAACAAUUAUAAAGCACUAGCAGUUUAGAUAGUCAAAGUGUUACAGUACCACUGCACAUGAUAUAUACUUCACUGUAAGUGUAGGUGUAUGCACUAAUAUGCAUCAGUUUUUAUGACCUAAUGCAUGCUAAGCUUAACAAACAUGUGGUUCCCCCAGGUAUCCCCCCCAGAAACAUUUGUUAGUUUAGACUCAUGUCGUAUGCACUGUGGUAUAUGAAUCUCGACAAGCGCAUCCUGGACAGGUAAUGAAUAAUGCUGAUCGUGGUUAACGCACACUAUAAAAGCUAGCACAUAUGCAGUACUCAUGCAACAAUAAUCUACAUUGAAAUCAUCCAUUCUACCAGCAAUACCAUGAUGCCUUUAGGUCUACUUUCGUUAAUCUUCCUGGUUGCAGUAUUAUCUUUGAGUUUGGCACAAGAUUGUGAUAACAUCAUAGUCAACAGAAGCGCCAGCCCGAGAGGAGGUAUUAUUAAGAAGUUCCAAGAUCAUGAAACGGUUGGAUUGACACAAGAAUGCCUCAAAAAUAGAGUCCGUGUGGAAAAGAACUCUGUACGCUGCUUUAAAUGGAGAGUAAGGACCAGUAAGCAAGUGCAACUUAAUGAACGACAUGUCUCAAGUCAGAAACUUGUUACGGAAAUCCCCGGUGAUUCUGUGACAUUUCGUUCACCUGGAUUUUACAAUCAUAACACAAAGCAUUACUCAAACAGCAUGUUUUGUCUGUACAACAUAUCUGUGGACAAAUGCAACCACAUUACUGUUGCCUCGAGUAGUGGACACACAUUGUUUAAUGACUCUAGAGACUAUCUUCAACUGUACUUGGGUCACAAGUCCUCCCCCCUGUUUGGAGAGAGUGUGAGUACGUUUGGAGAUGAUGUUCCCACUGGGUCCUUGUAUGCAGUGCUAUGGAGUGACGCUGUAUCUCGCACAAGCAGGGGAACAUUCGAACUAACUGCCACUUGCCAUUCUUGGAAUAAUGAAGAAGAGGGAUCAGGAUCACUUAUCUUAAACACUUCUACCGAUUUUUAGACUGGUACUUUUUUGUCCUGCAUCUCAUCAUCAUUAUUUCAGUUGUAGGUGCACACCAACGUAUUAUAUUUCAGCUUCAUUUCAA